GAGAAGGCUAUGUUGGCCGGGCGACGGUUGUCCCGGUUUAAGCGUGUAGGUGUGUGUUCCAGGAAAAUCCGGUUCACUUUAACACUGAGGCGUGACGACGAGGCACUACGGUGCUGAAGCAACAAAUGCCCUGCUUCCAGGAAAAGCCUCUAAGCCUCAGGUAACAUCAGAUCGUACCCGAAACCGACACAGGUGGUCAGGUAGAGAAUACCAAGGCGCUUGAGAGAACCCGGGUGAAGGAACUAGGCAAAAUGGUGCCGUAACUUCGGGAGAAGGCACGCUGACACGUAGGUGAAGCGGUUUACCCGUGGAGCUGAAGUCAGUCGAAGAUACCAGCUGGCUGCAACUGUUUAUUAAAAACACAGCACUGUGCAAACACGAAAGUGGACGUAUACGGUGUGACGCCUGCCCGGUGCCGGAAGGUUAAUUGAUGGGGUCAGCGCAAGCGAAGCUCCUGAUCGAAGCCCCGGUAAACGGCGGCCGUAACUAUAACGGUCCUAAGGUAGCGAAAUUCCUUGUCGGGUAAGUUCCGACCUGCACGAAUGGCGUAAUGAUGGCCAGGCUGUCUCCACCCGGGACUCAGUGAAAUUGAACUCGCUGUGAAGAUGCAGUGUACCCGCGGCAAGACGGAAAGACCCCGUGAACCUUUACUAUAGCUUGACACUGAACACUGGUCCUUGAUGUGCAGGAUAGGUGGGAGGCUUUGAAGUGUGGACGCCAGUCUGCAUGGAGCCGUCCUUGAAAUACCACCCUUUAAUGGCUGGUGUUCUAACGUAGACCCGUGAACCGGGUUGCGGACAGUGUCUGGUGGGUAGUUUGACUGGGGCGGUCUCCUCCUAAAGCGUAACGGAGGAGCACGAAGGUUGGCUAAUCCUGGUCGGACAUCAGGAGGUUAGUGCAAUGGCAUAAGCCAGCUUGACUGCGAGCGUGACGGCGCGAGCAGGUGCGAAAGCAGGUCAUAGUGAUCCGGUGGUUCUGAAUGGAAGGGCCAUCGCUCAACGGAUAAAAGGUACUCCGGGGAUAACAGGCUGAUACCGCCCAAGAGUUCAUAUCGACGGCGGUGUUUGGCACCUCGAUGUCGGCUCAUCACAUCCUGGGGCUGAAGUAGGUCCCAAGGGUAUGGCUGUUCGCCAUUUAAAGUGGUACGCGAGCUGGGUUUAGAACGUCGUGAGACAGUUCGGUCCCUAUCUGCCGUGGGCGCUGGAGAACUGAGGGGGGCUGCUCCUAGUACGAGAGGACCGGAGUGGACGCAUCACUGGUGUUCGGGUUGUCAUGCCAAUGGCACUGCCCGGUAGCUAAAUGCGGAAGAGAUAAGUGCUGAAAGCAUCUAAGCACGAAACUUGCCCCG
Molecule: ribosomal RNA, 1348 nt
Filed under: Salmonella enterica
Lineage: Bacteria; Pseudomonadati; Pseudomonadota; Gammaproteobacteria; Enterobacterales; Enterobacteriaceae
Also listed under: 1 other name
Description: partial 23S ribosomal RNA
Rfam family: Bacterial large subunit ribosomal RNA
Source: RNAcentral